This 77-nucleotide transfer RNA is filed under the name Chloroflexota bacterium. Its description in RNAcentral is "tRNA-Arg". It matches the Rfam family "tRNA". From Rfam's summary of the family: Transfer RNA (tRNA) molecules are approximately 80 nucleotides in length. The record is from RNAcentral. Lineage: Bacteria; Bacillati; Chloroflexota.
GCCCCCGUAGCUCAGUUGGAUAGAGCAUCCGCCUUCUAAGCGGGUGGUCGUGGGUUCGAGUCCCGCCGGGGGCGCCA